GAUGAACGCUGGCGGCGUGCCUAAUACAUGCAAGUCGAGCGAACAGACGAGGAGCUUGCUCCUCUGUCGUUAGCGGCGGACGGGUGAGUAACACGUGGAUAACCUCCCUAUCAGACUGGGAUAACUUCGGGACACCGGAUCUAAUCCCGUAUAAUCUACUGAACCGCAUGGUUCAAUAGUGAAAUACGGUUUUUCUGUCACUUCUCGCUGGAUCCCCGCUGCAUUAUCUAGUUGGUACGCUCAAGGCUUACCAAGGCAACGAUGCGUAGCCGACCUGAGAGAGUGAUCGGCCGCACUAGAAGUGGGACGCGGACAAGACUACUGCGAGACGGAGCAGUAGGGAAUCGUCCGCAGUGGGCGAGAGCUUGACGGAGCAACGCCAAGUGAGUGAUGGAGGUCUUCGGAUCGUAAAGCUCUGUUAUUGGGGAAAAACAAAUGUGGAAGUAAAUGUGCACGUCGUGACGGUACCGAAUCAGAAAGCCACGGCUAACUACGUG
This 497-nucleotide ribosomal RNA is filed under the name uncultured bacterium. RNAcentral's name for it is "partial 16S ribosomal RNA". It matches the Rfam family "Bacterial small subunit ribosomal RNA", at positions 28 to 507 of the family's 1533-position model. The record is from RNAcentral.